GUCCACGCCGUAAACGAUGAGUGCUAGGUGCUGUGGGUAUUGACCCCCGCGGUGCAGCAGCUAACGCGUUAAGCACUCCGCCUGGGGAGUACGGCCGCAAGGCUAAAACUCAAAGGAAUUGACGGGGGCCCGCACAAGCGGUGGAGCAUGUGGUUCAAUUCGACGCAACGCGCAGAACCUUACCUGGGUUAAAUCCAUACUAAUCUGCCAGAGAUGGCGGGGUGCCCUUCGGGAAGGUAUGAGAAGGUGCUGCAUGGCUGUCGU
This 264-nucleotide ribosomal RNA is filed under the name uncultured bacterium. Its description in RNAcentral is "partial 16S ribosomal RNA". It matches the Rfam family "Bacterial small subunit ribosomal RNA", at positions 793 to 1055 of the family's 1533-position model. The record is from RNAcentral.